Molecule: small RNA, 27 nt
Filed under: Bombyx mori (domestic silkworm)
Lineage: Eukaryota; Metazoa; Arthropoda; Insecta; Lepidoptera; Bombycidae
Description: ovarian small RNA-8640
Source: RNAcentral
UGCUUAUAAUUUUUAUGGGUUGAUGUC